This 1032-nucleotide long non-coding RNA is filed under the name Ursus maritimus (polar bear). Its description in RNAcentral is "lncRNA (ENSUMAG00000015899.1)". Lineage: Eukaryota; Metazoa; Chordata; Mammalia; Carnivora; Ursidae. The record is from RNAcentral.
CAAGAACACAAGCAGGGGAGCAGCAGGCAGAGCAGGCAGAGGGAGAAGCAGGCUCCCGCUGAGCAGAGAGCCUGAUGCAGGACUCGAUCCCAGGACCCCGGGAUCAUGACCCAAGCGGAAGACAGACGCUUAACCGACUGAGCCACCCAGGCGCCCCAGUCCUAACAUUUUCAACUUGUGAAGCACAGUAUAAGGACCCCAUCGAAUUUGCUGGCAUUUAAAAGAGGACAGACUGCCUCCCUUGCUCAUGGCCCAUUGAUCAGACACAAACUGGCCGAGACUUUUCACACCCACAGAGGCGAAAGGCAGAUUCGGAAACCUUCCUUGCUCAAGCCAGGCAGCCCCCGCCCGUGGAUGGCAAGUGAGAUGAAAUCUAUUUAUCAACCCCGGAUUCAGUCUUCCUCUCGCUUUUCAAGGGAGGAGACUAAGGCUCAGGGAAGUCAAGUAACUUUCCUCCUGUGCUAUACGUCAUGGCUGGGUUGGCUUUGAGGCCACCUGCUCUCUGAGGCCAAGGAAACAAUAUCUGUUCUACCUGGAAUUUAAAGAUAAAGUCAAACCAAAGACAAAAAUCAAGCCACUGGAGAAUAAGGAGCUAACAUUCACCCACAUUUUCAUCCCUUGAAAUCACUCUUUGGUAACUAUGACGUCUCCAUUUUACACAGAAGACGGGGGUACAGCCAAGAGUUGGCGAACGGUGGAACUAUAAUUCAAAUCAUUUUUAUGCUCAAAAGCUGUGCUCUUUCUAUUUCACUGGAGAAAGGUGAGUACACCCUGGAUGUGGUAGAAGUUGUUCUAAGGGGUGGGGUGGAGGAAUAGCAAAGAGAUGGACUCAUGGACUAUCUCCCUCAUUUCCCAGCAUCCUCUGCAGGGAAUAUGAUAAUAUGCUCGAGCCCUGGAUGGAACUUUCUUCUCUCUCUCUACUUCGAAAUCUCCUCAAAGCUCAUCUCAAAUGUCACCAGCUUUUCCUGAUCUUCCCAGUUAUAAUUAGCUAUUUUUUCCGCUGAUGCAAUUUUCUUAUACAUUUUGUAUUUG